GACGAACGCUGGCGGCGUGCUUAACACAUGCAAGUCGAACGGUAAGGCCCUUCGGGGUACACGAGUGGCGAACGGGUGAGUAACACGUGGGUGAUCUGCCCUGCACUUCGGGAUAAGCCUGGGAAACUGGGUCUAAUACCGGAUAGGACUCCUGGCUUCAUGGUUGGGGGUGGAAAGCUUUUGCGGUGUGGGAUGGGCUCGCGGCCUAUCAGCUUGUUGGUGGGGUAAUGGCUUACCAAGGCGACGACGGGUAGCCGGCCUGAGAGGGUGACCGGUCACACUGGGACUGAGAUACGGCCCAGACUCCUACGGGAGGCAGCAGUGGGGAAUAUUGCACAAUGGGCGCAAGCCUGAUGCAGCGACGCCGCGUGAGGGAUGACGGCCUUCGGGUUGUAAACCUCUUUCAGCUAUGACGAAGCGCAAGUGACGGUAGUAGCAGAAGAAGGACCGGCCAACUACGUGCCAGCAGCCGCCGUAA
Molecule: ribosomal RNA, 478 nt
Filed under: uncultured bacterium
Lineage: Bacteria
Description: partial 16S ribosomal RNA
Rfam family: Bacterial small subunit ribosomal RNA
Source: RNAcentral